GAUGAACGCUGGCGGCGUGCCUAAUACAUGCAAGUCGAGCGAACAGACGAGGAGCUUGCUCCUCUGACGUUAGCGGCGGACGGGUGAGUAACACGUGGAUAACCUACCUAUAAGACUGGGAUAACUUCGGGAAACCGGAGCUAAUACCGGAUAAUAUAUUGAACCGCAUGGUUCAAUAGUGAAAGACGGUUUUGCUGUCACUUAUAGAUGGAUCCGCGCCGCAUUAGCUAGUUGGUAAGGUAACGGCUUACCAAGGCAACGAUGCGUAGCCGACCUGAGAGGGUGAUCGGCCACACUGGAACUGAGACACGGUCCAGACUCCUACGGGAGGCAGCAGUAGGGAAUCUUCCGCAAUGGGCGAAAGCCUGACGGAGCAACGCCGCGUGAGUGAUGAAGGUCUUCGGAUCGUAAAACUCUGUUAUUAGGGAAGAACAAAUGUGUAAGUAACUAUGCACGUCUUAACGGUACCUAAGCAGAAAGCCACGGCUAACUACGU
Molecule: ribosomal RNA, 496 nt
Filed under: uncultured bacterium
Lineage: Bacteria
Description: partial 16S ribosomal RNA
Rfam family: Bacterial small subunit ribosomal RNA
Source: RNAcentral